Molecule: ribosomal RNA, 403 nt
Filed under: uncultured prokaryote
Description: bacterial SSU rRNA
Rfam family: Bacterial small subunit ribosomal RNA
Source: RNAcentral
UGGGGAAUAUUGGACAAUGGGCGCAAGCCUGAUCCAGCCAUGCCGCGUGAGUGAUGAAGGCCCUAGGGUUGUAAAGCACUUUUUGAGAGGAUGAGGAAGGACGGUACUCUCAGAAUAAGUCUCGGCUAACUACGUGCCAGCAGCCGCGGUAACACGUGGGAGGCAAACGUUAUCCGGAUUUACUGGGCGUAAAGCGCGUGUAGGUGGUUCUGUAAGUAGGGCGUGAAAGCUCCUGGCUCAACUGGGAGAGGCCGUUCUAAACUGCAGAGCUAGAGGAUGGUGGAGGGAGGUGGAAUUCCGGGUGUAGCGGUGGAAUGCGCAGAUAUCCGGAGGAACACCAGUGGCGAAAGCGGCCUCCUGGACCAUUCCUGACACUCAGACGCGAAAGCUAGGGUAGCAAACG